AGUGAACGCUGGCGGUAGGCCUAACACAUGCAAGUCGAACGGCAGCACAGUAAGAGCUUGCUCUUACGGGUGGCGAGUGGCGGACGGGUGAGGAAUAUAUCGGAAUCUACUUUUUCGUGGGGGAUAACGUAGGGAAACUUACGCUAAUACCGCAUACGACCUACGGGUGAAAGCAGUGGAACUUCGCACCUUGCGCGAUUGAAUGCGCCGAUGUCGGUUUAGCUAGUUGGCGGGGUAAAGGCCCACCAAGGCGACGAUCCGUAGCUGGUCUGAGAGGAUGAUCAGCCACACUGGAACUGAGACACGGUCCAGACUCCUACGGGAGGCAGCAGUGGGGAAUAUUGGACAAUGGGCGCAAGCCUGAUCCAGCCAUGCCGCGUGGGUGAAGAAGGCCUUCGGGUUGUAAAGCCCUUUUGUUGGGAAAGAAAAGCAGCAGGUUAAUACCCCGCUGUUCUGACGGUACCCAAAGAAUAAGCACCGGCUAACUUCGUG
RNAcentral lists this ribosomal RNA (492 nucleotides) under uncultured bacterium. Its description in RNAcentral is "partial 16S ribosomal RNA". It matches the Rfam family "Bacterial small subunit ribosomal RNA", at positions 29 to 507 of the family's 1533-position model. The record is from RNAcentral.